Molecule: non-coding RNA, 107 nt
Organism: Mycena alexandri
Lineage: Eukaryota; Fungi; Basidiomycota; Agaricomycetes; Agaricales; Mycenaceae
Source: the annotation of a GenBank genome assembly
GGCCGUCUAGCUCAGUUGGUUAGAGCGUCGUGCUAAUAGUUGCUCGAGCAUUAACUGCUCAUGUAAUAAUCACGCGAAGGUCUUGGGUUCGACCCCCACGAUGGCCA